RNAcentral lists this unclassified non-coding RNA (224 nucleotides) under plant metagenome. RNAcentral's name for it is "partial contains small subunit ribosomal RNA, internal transcribed spacer 1, and 5.8S ribosomal RNA". The record is from RNAcentral.
UCUCCGUUGGUGAACCAGCGGAAGGAUCAUUACAGGACUCGCAAGACUCCUUCACCCUGUGAACCUCACUACAAGCACGUUGCUUCGGCGGGUGUCCCGGCGGGGGUUUUCCCUCGCCGGGGCGCACAGCCCGCCGGCAGCCUACUAUACUCUGUCUCUUUGCGUUGGCAUCUCGAGAAAAAACAAACAAGUUAAAACUUUCAACAACGGAUCUCUUGGUUCUG